UGGGCUGAAUGGUGCCCCAGUGGACUUGAUUUCCUCAAGGAACUUAAAUGAGUGGGGUUCGAGUUGGCACCACCCCAGCACAUUUGAGUGGUGGAGUGGGGUGCUUGAGAAUAGGACAUGACUCCUUUCCUUAUCUUGUUUUUUAUGCUUCCCACAAUCUUCAUUUUUUGCGCACACAGGAAAUUCAUUGUCAAUAAUGCAUCCAUGUAUAGGCUAUUUCAAAUUGUGUAUCAUCUUUGUUUCACCCUUUUGGUUGUUGCAGGAUUUUUAAACCCCAUCUUUGGAAUUAAAGUUUGGUGAAAUAUUAUUUACUUCCAGAGGCAGUAUUUGAUUUAUAUGCCUUGCUAUUAAGAAUUUCUUCCA
Molecule: long non-coding RNA, 363 nt
Filed under: Daucus carota (carrot)
Lineage: Eukaryota; Viridiplantae; Streptophyta; Magnoliopsida; Apiales; Apiaceae
Description: long non-coding RNA (DCAR_LNC003039)
Source: RNAcentral